ACUGGGUUUUUCUUGAGUGUGGAUGAAGUAGGCGGAAUUUGUGGUGUAGCGGUGAAAUGCAUAGAUAUCACGAGGAACACCGAUUGCGCAGGCAGCUUACUAAACCAUAACUGACGCUCAGGCACGAAGGCGUGGGGAUCAAACAGGAUUAGAUACCCUGGUAGUCCACGCAGUAAACGAUGAUUACUGGCUGUUUGCGAUAUACAGUAAGCGGCUGAGCGAAAGCGUUAAGUAAUCCACCUGGGGAGUACGUUCGCAAGAAUGAAACUCAAAGGAAUUGACGGGGGCCCGCACAAGCGGAGGAACAUGUGGUUUAAUUCGAUGAUACGCGAGGAACCUUACCCGGGCUUGAAAUGCAUCUGACAGGGGCAGAGACGUCCUUUCCCUUCGGGGCAGAUGUGUAGGUGCUGCAUGGUUGUCGUCAGCUCGUGCCGUGAGGUGUCGGCUUAAGUGCCAUAACGAGCGCAACCCUCAUCAUUAGUUACCAUCAGGUUAAGCUGGGGACUCUAAUGAGACUGCCAUCGUAAGAUGCGAGGAAGGUGGGGAUGACGUCAAAUCAGCACGGCCCUUACGUCCGGGGCGACACACGUGUUACAAUGGGUGGUACAAAGGGCAGCUACAUGGCGACAUGAUGCUAAUCUCCAAAACCACUCUCAGUUCGGAUCGGAGUCUGCAACUCGACUCCGUGAAGCUGGAUUCGCUAGUAAUCGCGCAUCAGCCACGGCGCGGUGAAUACGUUCCCGGGCCUUGUAC
RNAcentral lists this ribosomal RNA (753 nucleotides) under uncultured bacterium. RNAcentral's name for it is "SSU rRNA". It matches the Rfam family "Bacterial small subunit ribosomal RNA", at positions 630 to 1386 of the family's 1533-position model. The record is from RNAcentral.